GUUGCCAUGGCUGUGGUGUAGACCUCAGCUGUGGCUCCUAUUCAACCCCUGGCCCGGGAACUUCCAUAUGCUACCAGGGCAGCUGUAAAAGAAAAAUACAUUAAAAAGAAUGAUCCACAUCCUUUGUAGCCUGAAUUCACUGAUGACUUGGGAGAUCUGAGGAGUGAAGUUUACCGCUCGGAUUUUUUGCAUUUCCAACAGGAGGGAAUUUAUCAAGAUGUGCUGCAGGCUGAACUUCUAUGCUGAAGUCCUAAUCGCCAGUGUAUUUGCAAGUGGGGCCUUUGGGAGGUAACCUGGUCGUGAGGGUGGCGCCUCCAGGACUGGGACUCGUGCCGUGACGAGGGGACCUGGGAGAGAUGACCUCUCCCUCCGAGCUGUGAGGGAGGACGCAGCAAGAAGGUGGCCGCCUGCAGGCUGGGAAGAGAGCCCUCACCAGAUCCCCAGCCGGCCGAUUUUCCCCGGAACCGCAGGAAACUAGUGUUUGCUGUUGAAGCUGCCUAGACUGGCCUGUGAUUGUCAAAGCAGGUACUGUGUUCUUGGCCAGUCUGAACCCAGGAGAUGCAAAUUCUCGCCUUUGCUGGGAUCCUGCGUGAACAGCUCUGUCCCCACCAUCCCAGAGGGCACCCGUGAGACCCAGGAGUCGGCUUUUGUUGGCACAUCAGAUUCGUUUUGCCGUUGAGCCUCUAAGGAACAAAGGAUAUGGACACGUCCUCCAUUGUGGCAGCAGCCACAACGGCCACUUAAACCAGGAGGAGACCCAGGCCCGAUGAAGGAGAGAAACAGUCGAUUCCAGAACCUGGGAGCGACGCUGGCAAGCACCUGUUAGGCCUGGCCCCCAAGGGCCCUGCUUCAGAUGCUUCUUUCCUGACCUCCUCCAGCUGGAUGUCGUCUCCUUGGAAGCUCCCUCUGCACAUCGUCUGCCCCUCUCCUGGGGCACUGACUCCUGUCUGUCUCCAGCUCAACAUGCCUCCCGGGCUCUGAAAGGAACCGCAGCAUCCUCUCAGCUGGAAACGUCCUCAGGGGCACGGUGCUUGGACUCUUCCGGUCUGCGGAGCCCCAGGCUGGAAGCUCUGGAUCAUGCACGGGAAGAAGGAAGGUGUCUGGGGCCUUCCGAGUGGAGCAGCGGCGCUUGCUUUCUGGGGAAAUGCUGUGGACACGCCCUGCCAAAUCGCAAAGCCAGAGUCCCCCAGCCAGGGCAUGACAAAAGAUCAGCCAGGACAGCAAAGCUCUUUUCCCUGCAGGCGCCGAGGAGGACCUGCCUGGCUCCCUUGGAGCUGUGGUCACUUGCAGGGUCCCCAGAGUCCCUCUGAAGCCCAUCCUUUAUUAGUGGGGAUGUGGCAGGUGCUUAGGGUGGACCCCAGUGCCCUGUCCUGCCGCCCCCUCCUGGGGAAGGAGUUGGGUGAUUCCCUGAAUUCAGGGGAGGGAAGCAGAGGCUGAGGGGCUCUGAGCAGCCCCAGGUUCUCCUGUCCCUUGGGGGGGUGGCUUACCUUCUCGCCACUUCUGUUUUCUCCCUCCCCUAUUGCCCCUCCCCCUCGUCUCCCCUCGGGAACUGCUAGUUUGUUUUCUGAUGGUUGGGUCUCUUUCUGUUUUGUACGUAUACUCAUUGGCAGCCCUUCACUUCUUAAAUCCGGUCUUUGAACCCAGCCCCUCCUGUGUGCAGGUACCCCAACUUUCCAGAUGCUUGGUUUCCUCCCUAGGA
Molecule: non-coding RNA, 1699 nt
Organism: Sus scrofa (pig)
Lineage: Eukaryota; Metazoa; Chordata; Mammalia; Artiodactyla; Suidae
Source: RefSeq, a predicted model, not a curated record